RNAcentral lists this ribosomal RNA (1358 nucleotides) under uncultured bacterium. RNAcentral's name for it is "bacterial SSU rRNA". It matches the Rfam family "Bacterial small subunit ribosomal RNA", at positions 28 to 1381 of the family's 1533-position model. The record is from RNAcentral.
GAUGAACGCUAGCUACAGGCUUAACACAUGCAAGUCGAGGGGCAGCAUGGUCUUAGCUUGCUAAGGCCGAUGGCGACCGGCGCACGGGUGAGUAACACGUAUCCAACCUGCCGUCUACUCUUGGACAGCCUUCUGAAAGGAAGAUUAAUACAAGAUGGCAUCAUGAGUCCACAUGUUCACAUGAUUAAAGGUAUUCCGGUAGACGAUGGGGAUGCGUUCCAUUAGAUAGUAGGCGGGGUAACGGCCCACCUAGUCUUCGAUGGAUAGGGGUUCUGAGAGGAAGGUCCCCCACAUUGGAACUGAGACACGGUCCAAACUCCUACGGGAGGCAGCAGUGAGGAAUAUUGGUCAAUGGGCGAGAGCCUGAACCAGCCAAGUAGCGUGAAGGAUGACUGCCCUAUGGGUUGUAAACUUCUUUUAUAAAGGAAUAAAGUCGGGUAUGGAUACCCGUUUGCAUGUACUUUAUGAAUAAGGAUCGGCUAACUCCGUGCCAGCAGCCGCGGUAAUACGGAGGAUCCGAGCGUUAUCCGGAUUUAUUGGGUUUAAAGGGAGCGUAGAUGGAUGUUUAAGUCAGUUGUGAAAGUUUGCGGCUCAACCGUAAAAUUGUAGUUGAUACUGGAUAUCUUGAGUGCAGUUGAGGCAGGCGGAAUUCGUGGUGUAGCGGUGAAAUGCUUAGAUAUCACGAAGAACUCCGAUUGCGAAGGCAGCCUGCUAAGCUGCAACUGACAUUGAGGCUCGAAAGUGUGGGUAUCAAACAGGAUUAGAUACCCUGGUAGUCCACACGGUAAACGAUGAAUACUCGCUGUUUGCGAUAUACAGCAAGCGGCCAAGCGAAAGCGUUAAGUAUUCCACCUGGGGAGUACGCCGGCAACGGUGAAACUCAAAGGAAUUGACGGGGGCCCGCACAAGCGGAGGAACAUGUGGUUUAAUUCGAUGAUACGCGAGGAACCUUACCCGGGCUUAAAUUGCAGAUGAAUUACGGUGAAAGCCGUAAGCCGCAAGGCAUCUGUGAAGGUGCUGCAUGGUUGUCGUCAGCUCGUGCCGUGAGGUGUCGGCUUAAGUGCCAUAACGAGCGCAACCCUUGUUGUCAGUUACUAACAGGUUCCGCUGAGGACUCUGACAAGACUGCCAUCGUAAGAUGUGAGGAAGGUGGGGAUGACGUCAAAUCAGCACGGCCCUUACGUCCGGGGCUACACACGUGUUACAAUGGGGGGUACAGAGGGCCGCUACCACGCGAGUGGAUGCCAAUCCCAAAAACCUCUCUCAGUUCGGACUGGAGUCUGCAACCCGACUCCACGAAGCUGGAUUCGCUAGUAAUCGCGCAUCAGCCACGGCGCGGUGAAUACGUUCCCGGGCCU